This 495-nucleotide ribosomal RNA is filed under the name uncultured bacterium. RNAcentral's name for it is "partial 16S ribosomal RNA". It matches the Rfam family "Bacterial small subunit ribosomal RNA", at positions 28 to 507 of the family's 1533-position model. The record is from RNAcentral.
GACGAACGCUGGCGGCGUGCCUAAUACAUGCGAGUAGAACGCUGAAGGAGGAGCUUGCUUCUCUGGAUGAGUUGCGAACGGGUGAGUAACGCGUAGGUAACCUGCCUGGUAGCGGGGGAUAACUAUUGGAAACGAUAGCUAAUACCGCAUAAUAGUAGAUGUUGCAUGACAUUUGCCUAAAAGGUGCAAUUGCAUCACUACCAGAUGGACCUGCGUUGUAUUAGCUAGUUGGUGGGGUAACGGCUCACCAAGGCGACGAUACAUAGCCGCCCUGAGAGGGGGGUCGGCCACACUGGGACUGUGACCCGGCCCAGACUCCUACGGGAGGCAGCCGUAGGGAUUCUUCGGCAAGGGACGGAAGUCUGACCGAGCAACGCCGCGGGAGUGAAGAAGGUUUUCGGAUCGUAAAGCUCUGUUGUAAGGGAAGAACGAGUGUGAGAGUGGAAAGUUCACACUGUGACGGUAUCUUACCAGAAAGCGACGGCUAACUACGUG